Long non-coding RNA from Peromyscus maniculatus bairdii (prairie deer mouse), 914 nucleotides. RefSeq lists it as uncharacterized. NCBI's taxonomy places the organism in Eukaryota, Metazoa, Chordata, Mammalia, Rodentia, Cricetidae. The record is from RefSeq and is a predicted model, not a curated record.
UCAGACAAUCUGCACAAAUGCUCUACCAUGGCGUUUUCACGUUCUGUUUCCUCAACAACCCCGCAUUGCUCAUCUUAGGGCCUUUGCAUUUUGGGGUCAAACUUGGAAGUCAAGUCUGCACUCCCACUAGACAGUGUUAGCUGGGAAGGUCACUGAGAGCCUCUGAUGUUGACUGUUCUCAUCUGUUCUAUGGAGUCCUCAUUGACAAUGCUUAAGGCUGCUGUGGGAAACUGAGAGGAAGCACAGUGCCUGGUCAUCAAACUCACCCGUAAUCAUUAUUAACAUGAAUGUCAACAGUUCACAACAGUUCAUUGCUUCCUAAAGUGCUGGGACUACAGGUGUGCACUACCAGGUGUAGUUUUAGGCAGUGUUGAAGAUGGAACCGAGGUCCUCCUGCAUUCUAGUUUGUCUUCUCAUCUUAAAUAUGGAACAGUCAGGACAGUGGAAGAAGGCAAUUGCCCAAGGCUAUUUUGCAAGCUACUCACACAGCCCAGGCAUGGGUACAGUGAACUCUGAGGGCUGUUUUUGUCCUACAUAGCUACUUAAGAUAGCAUCAGCGUGGAUCCUGACCUCAUCUGGCUGAUAACGAACAAUUCCUGAUUGGGAGAUCAGUGCUGGCCUGAGGAGCCUGAGGUAGGCGGUACGGAAGGGGCCUCAGUGUUGACUCCCUGCCUGGAGAAGAACUGUCAGAAAAGGUCUCACGGAGGGGCCUCGGGGUUUUUCAGUUCCUCCACUAUCAGGGUCUUCUAUACUUUUGAGGUGUUAUUUUGUUGUGAGAAUCCUGGUCACCCCUAUUUUUCUAGGGCAGUGAAAUCUCACCCUGGGUCCUAUUUGAGAUUGGUAAGAUGACCAGCGAUGCUCAAAUAGAAAAGCAUUUUGAACACACCAUCAAUGUGUGUGUGUGUGUGUGUGUG